CCUACGGGUGGCAGCAGUGAGGAAUAUUGGUCAAUGGGCGCAAGCCUGAACCAGCCAAGUCGCGUGAAGGAUGAAUGCCCUACGGGUUGUAAACUUCUUUUAUCAAGGAAUACAGUGAGGCACGUGUCCCUUUUUGUAUGUACUUUAUCAAUAAGGAUCGGCUAACUCCGUGCCAUCAGCCGCGGUAAUACGGAGGGUCCGAGCGUUCUCCGGAUUUAUUGGGUUUAAAGGGAGCGUAGAUGGGUUGUUAAGUCAGUUGUGAAAGUUUGCGGCUCAACCGGAAAAUUGCAAUUGAUACUGGCAGUCGUGAGUACAGGUGAGGGAGGCGGAAUUCGUGGUGUAGCGGUGAAAUGCUUAGAUAUCACGAAGAACACCGAUGGCGAAGGCAGCUUACUAAACUGCCACUGACAUUGAGGCUCGAAAGUGUGGGGAUCAAACAGGAUUAGAUACCCGAGUAGUC
RNAcentral lists this ribosomal RNA (460 nucleotides) under uncultured bacterium. Its description in RNAcentral is "partial 16S ribosomal RNA". It matches the Rfam family "Bacterial small subunit ribosomal RNA", at positions 338 to 795 of the family's 1533-position model. The record is from RNAcentral.